This 1593-nucleotide small RNA is filed under the name Pyricularia oryzae. RNAcentral describes it as "Magnaporthe oryzae sRNA M_BR32_EuGene_00111871". The record is from RNAcentral. Lineage: Eukaryota; Fungi; Ascomycota; Sordariomycetes; Magnaporthales; Pyriculariaceae.
UAUAUUUUAAGGUAAGGUAUUGAACAGAAGCAAUUAAAAUAUUACGAUUAAGGUAUCGGGUAACCUGUUUUUAUGGUAAAAUAUAGUGAGUUGAAACAAUUGAGCGUUUAAAUUGGGUAAUUGGGAUUUUUAAUAAUUGGGGUGAAGUUAUAAUCGAUUCCUGGGUAGGUAAUAAGUUAAUUGCUGCUAAACAAUUCUAAAUUAGGUUUUAUUUAUAUGGUAAUAAGGGUGUUUUAUAUAAAUUCGGUUCCGAAUGUGAUUAUUUUGGUAUAAGUGAUUAUAAUUACCCUGGGGUAAUUACCGCUGGGCCGAUUAUUUUUUUGGCGGUAAUUACGGUCACCUCCGUUUUGUAAUCGGGUUAGGGUUCCUUAUCUUAUCGUCACGUAACUUCGUGUUUCCAUCCUUUAUUUCUGGUCCGUGGUUUUUGGUGGUUUUGGUUUGGGUUCCCGACAUUUCCUUUGUUUUUGCCCAAUCGUGUCGGUACCAACCCUGGUCGUAACAUUAAUAUUAUUUUUUAUUUGUUUCCAAAAAUAUUUAUUUUGAAAUAAUUUUAAAAUCUUAGCGAUUUCCUAAUAUUUAAUAUAUAAGUUAUUAUAAUAAAAUUCCAAGCGAUUUUUCCUUACGUUACAAUUUAUUAAUAGGUAAUAUUUUAAUUUGUAAUAAAAAUAUUAUUUGGAAUUAUAAUUUUAUUCUUUUUAUUUUUUUUGCAAAAUUAUUAUAAUAAUUUAUUAUUUGGUUGUAUAUUUUUAAUUAACUUUCUAAUAUACUUUAAAAAUAUAUGGUACAGGGUUUUUAUAUUUAUAAUAUGUUUUGUUUUUCCGCGGGUAAUUAUAUAUAUUCGCGCAUAUAAUCGACCCAAAAAAAUAAAAUAACCUGUUGAAAUUGCAAAGUUUUUUCAAAUAGGCGAAAAUUACCAAUUUUCCUUUAUUUUAACCCCGUAUUACCAAUUCUUUUUAAAAUAAGAAUAAAAGGCCGUUUAUAAUAAUGGAUAUUUUGUGGUUAGAUUGUUUCGACGGCCCGUUAACAGGAUUUUGUUUCCCUGCACGGUAAAUAAUUUUAAAAUUAAAAAAAAUAUUAUCCAACGCGUUUAAUUUUUAUCAAAUUUGGGUGUUUUUAUAAAAUCUUGCAAAUUUUAAUACUUUGUAAGUAUAAUUAUUAGGGAUAUAUUCUUUUGGGUAAUAUUUCUAAUAUUUGAGAAGUUUGACUAAAAUAUUUAAUUUCCGGUCCGGGGUUUUUUAAUUUAAUUCGGCUUCAAAUUAUUUUUUAGAUUCGAUGUUAAUAAAAUGCCAAUUGUUUUUAAAAAGUUGUAAUAAAAUCGCCUUCUAAACGUAUAUUACAAUAUUAAUUUCCAACCGUAUAGGAACUAAAAAAUAAUAAUAAUAUGGUAAUAUUACGACCAGAUAGUUGGGCCGGUACCAAAAAGGCCAGGUGGGGUUACACCCAUCCUAACGACAUUCGCCCAAAAAAAAUACCGACCGACAAAAUAGUAAUUACCUAAAAGUAAAGCCACGAAAUUUUACGUAACCUUACGUAACGGCCAAGGGAAUAGAUUUUUAUAAUUUGUAAAAUCUCAAUUAAAAAUUACAAAUUAAA